This is a non-coding RNA of Canis lupus familiaris (dog), 324 nucleotides long. The record is from Rfam. Lineage: Eukaryota; Metazoa; Chordata; Mammalia; Carnivora; Canidae.
GAGUUUGUGUGGGAUGUGAUAUCUGUCACCCCACUGAUCCUCAGGGUUGAUCUGGCUGAUCAGGCUGACUAGACAGGUGUCCUCUUCCUCCCUCAAUGCUUCAUGUGUGUCUCUCCCAAAGCUGCACACUCAGUGGAAAAAGAUGAUUUUCCGCACAGAGGAGAAGCAUUCUUCAGUCAAGGGUAUGUGAGUAGCUGCGUGCCUAUGCUAGCACCUCCAAACAAGCUCUCAGCAUACAUUCAUAGGACAAUGUAGGGUAGUCAAGCUUCCAAUGCUCCAGACACAUCUAAAUGAGGUGCUGCAUGUGGCAGUCUGACUUUCAAA